RNAcentral lists this ribosomal RNA (626 nucleotides) under Fusarium lateritium. RNAcentral's name for it is "eukaryotic LSU rRNA". It matches the Rfam family "Eukaryotic large subunit ribosomal RNA", at positions 1 to 648 of the family's 3401-position model. Lineage: Eukaryota; Fungi; Ascomycota; Sordariomycetes; Hypocreales; Nectriaceae. The record is from RNAcentral.
GUUGACCUCGGAUCAGGUAGGAAUACCCGCUGAACUUAAGCAUAUCAAUAAGCGGAGGAAAAGAAACCAACAGGGAUUGCCCUAGUAACGGCGAGUGAAGCGGCAACAGCUCAAAUUUGAAAUCUGGCUCUCGGGCCCGAGUUGUAAUUUGCAGAGGAUGUUUUUGAUGCGGUGCCUUCCGAGUUCCCUGGAACGGGACGCCAUAGAGGGUGAGAGCCCCGUCUGGUUGGAUGCCAAAUCUCUGUAAAACUCCUUCGACGAGUCGAGUAGUUUGGGAAUGCUGCUCUAAAUGGGAGGUAUAUGUCUUCUAAAGCUAAAUACCGGCCAGAGACCGAUAGCGCACAAGUAGAGUGAUCGAAAGAUGAAAAGCACUUUGAAAAGAGAGUUAAAAAGUACGUGAAAUUGUUGAAAGGGAAGCGUUUGUGACCAGACUUGGGCUUGGUUAAUCAUCUGGGGUUCUCCCCAGUGCACUUCUCCAGCUCAGGCCAGCAUCAGUUUUCCCCGGGGGACAAAGACUCUGGGAAUGUGGCUCACCUCGGUGAGUGUUAUAGCCCACUGUGUAAUACCCUGGGGGGGACUGAGGUUCGCGCAUCUGCAAGGAUGCUGGCGUAAUGGUCAUCAACGAC